RNAcentral lists this transfer RNA (60 nucleotides) under Dipodomys ordii (Ord's kangaroo rat). It matches the Rfam family "tRNA". Rfam says of the family: Transfer RNA (tRNA) molecules are approximately 80 nucleotides in length. Their secondary structure includes four short double-helical elements and three loops (D, anti-codon, and T loops). Lineage: Eukaryota; Metazoa; Chordata; Mammalia; Rodentia; Heteromyidae. The record is from Rfam by way of RNAcentral.
GGUGCUGUAGCUCAAUGGUAGAGCGCUAGCCUUGAGCUAAAGAGCUGAGGGACAGCGCCU